AGGAGAACAUGAGACUCCAAACCAGGAGAACAUGAGACCCCAAAAGCAAAGUAAACAACUUGUUCCCAGAAGGAGGGAGUAGCUAACACUGCCAUUGCUGCUGGUGUUCUGGAAAGGCGAUGAUGGCAUAUAUUGAUCAUGGGGUUUGGCAACACUGGUGUGAUGGUGUAUUGACCAUAGAGUUUGGCAACACUGGUGUUGACGGGAUUUCCAAGGACAUUGGGAUGAAAGACAGAUUGAGUGCGUUAAAGAGAGGCCUUAAACUUGGGCCAGUCAACAUCCACAAGUCAUGUGAGGAGCUCUCUAUAAAGGAAACAGAGAAAUGAGAGUGGAUAAAGCAUGAAGGUAGAGUUUUCCUUAAAAUGGAGGAUAUUACAGGCCAGGUGCGGUGACUCACACCUUUAAUCUCAGCACUUUGGGAGGCCGAGGCAGGCAGAUCACCUGAGGUCAGGAGUUUGAGACCAGCCUGGCCAAUAUGGAGAAAUGCCGUCUCUACUAAAAAUACAAAAUUAGCAGGGCAUGGUCGUGGGUGCCUGUAAUCCCAGCUACUUGGAAGGCUGAGGAAGGAGAUUUGCAUGAACCCAGGAGGUGGAGGUUGCAGUGAACCAAGAUCGCACCAUUGCAUUCCAGCCUGGGCGACAAGAGUGAAAAACUCCAUCUCAGAAAAAAAAAAAAAAAAAAGAAGGUGGAGUGGAGACAUUACAGAAUGUUUGUGUGCUGAUUUAGGUCUUUGUCUCCAGACUUUCUACUAUAAUUUGCAUAGAAAAAAUUUUCUACCAGAUAUUCAAAGACACUCUUGAGCUCCAUUUUCCAUUUUAUGACUCCACUCUUUGGUUCUAUUUGGCUGUUCACACCAUUUACUAAGUGGCAUGAGGAGGUCACCGGACGUCAGCCCCCGGAGACUGUCCGACAUCAGCCCCCAGCUCCGGCAGCUCAAGUACUUGGUGGUGGACGAGGCGAUUAAGGAGGAUCUGAAAUGGUCGCGCUCCGUGGAAGAUCUCACCAGCGGGCCCGUGGGGCUCACGUCCAUCGAGGAGCGGAUCCUGCGCAUCACUGGCUACUAUGGCUACCAGCCCUGGGCAGCGAGCUGCAAAAGUCAAGGUCACGGGUCAUAUGGCUGGUCAGUAGAAGAAGCUUGCAUCCUGAUUGCUGGUCCUAUUCUCUUUCCAUUGCCUGCUACUAUCUCUUCUGGACCCUCUUCUUUCUCUUUUGACUUUAUCAUCAGUUAAUGAUUGAACACUGGGCACUUCUAAAAGCAAUGCCAGAGCAGGCAGCUGCCCUAAAGGAGUAUGUCAAGUAAUAGAGGCGACUAGCAAAUAGACAUAGAUAUUGAAAACACAAAUGACAAAAUCGAUAACCACAGCCAUGACAGCUCAACCCAUGCAGAUAUGUAUAUAUGAGUUCUGAGUUCCCAACUAGGUGGAAAGAUGAAGUGUGGAAG
Molecule: long non-coding RNA, 1441 nt
Filed under: Rhinopithecus bieti (black snub-nosed monkey)
Lineage: Eukaryota; Metazoa; Chordata; Mammalia; Primates; Cercopithecidae
Description: lncRNA (ENSRBIG00000045861.1)
Source: RNAcentral